RNAcentral lists this ribosomal RNA (254 nucleotides) under uncultured bacterium. Its description in RNAcentral is "partial 16S ribosomal RNA". It matches the Rfam family "Bacterial small subunit ribosomal RNA", at positions 524 to 776 of the family's 1533-position model. The record is from RNAcentral.
UACGUAGGGUGCGAGCGUUAUUCGGAAUUACUGGGCGUAAAGGGCGCGCAGGCGGCUGCUCAAGUCAGGCGUGAAAGGCCUGGGCUCAACCCGGGAAUUGCGCUUGAGACUGGGCUGGCUUGAGUGCGGGAGAGGAUGGUGGAAUUCCCAGUGUAGAGGUGAAAUUCGUAGAUAUUGGGAAGAACACCGGUGGCGAAGGCGGCCAUCUGGACCGCAACUGACGCUGAGGCGCGAAAGCGUGGGGAGCAAACAGG